GGACCCGCACAAGUAGUGGAGCAUGUGGUUUAAUUCGAAGAUACGCGCAGAACCUUACCAACCCUUGACAUCCUGCGAACUUUCUAGAGAUAGAUUGGUGCCUUCGGGAACCGAGUGACAGGUGCUGCAUGGCUGUCGUCAGCUCGUGUCGUGAGAUGUUGGGUUAAGUCCCGUAACGAGCGCAACCCUUAUCCUUAAUUGCCAGCGGUUAGGCCGGGAACUCUAAGGAGACUGCCGAUGACAAAUCGGAGGAAGGUGGGGACGACGUCAAGUCAUCAUGGCCCUUACGUGUAGGGCUACACACGUGCUACAAUGGCCGGUACAAACGGUUGCGAACCCGCGAGGGGAAGCUAAUCCGAGAAAGCCGGUCGUAGUCCGGAUUGGGGUCUGCAACUCGACCCCAUG
Molecule: ribosomal RNA, 405 nt
Filed under: uncultured bacterium
Lineage: Bacteria
Description: bacterial SSU rRNA
Rfam family: Bacterial small subunit ribosomal RNA
Source: RNAcentral